GAUGAACGCUGGCGGCGUGCCUAAUACAUGCAAGUCGAGCGAACAGACGAGGAGCUUGCUCCUCUGUCGUUAGCGGCGGACGGGUGAGUAACACGUGGAUAACCUACCUAUAAGACUGGGAUAACUUCGGGAAACCGGAGCUAAUACCGGAUAACAUGUUGAACCGCAUGGUUCAACAGUGAAAGACGGUUUUGCUGUCACUUAUAGAUGGAUCCGCGCCGCAUUAGCUAGUUGGUAAGGUAACGGCUUACCAAGGCAACGAUGCGUAGCCGACCUGAGAGGGUGAUCGGCCACACUGGAACUGAGACACGGUCCAGACUCCUACGGGAGGCAGCAGUAGGGAAUCUUCCGCAAUGGGCGAAAGCCUGACGGAGCAACGCCGCGUGAGUGAAGAAGGUCUUCGGAUCGUAAAACUCUGUUAUUAGGGAAGAACAAAUGUGUAAGUAACUAUGCACGUCUUGACGGUACCUAAUCAGAAAGCCACGGCUAACUACGUG
This 497-nucleotide ribosomal RNA is filed under the name uncultured bacterium. RNAcentral's name for it is "partial 16S ribosomal RNA". It matches the Rfam family "Bacterial small subunit ribosomal RNA", at positions 28 to 507 of the family's 1533-position model. The record is from RNAcentral.